This 76-nucleotide transfer RNA is filed under the name Actinomycetota bacterium. RNAcentral describes it as "tRNA-Gly". It matches the Rfam family "tRNA". Rfam says of the family: Transfer RNA (tRNA) molecules are approximately 80 nucleotides in length. Their secondary structure includes four short double-helical elements and three loops (D, anti-codon, and T loops). The record is from RNAcentral. Lineage: Bacteria; Bacillati; Actinomycetota.
GCAAUCGUAGCUCAGUUGGUAGAGCAUUGGUCUUCCAAACCAGAUGUCGCGCGUUCGAGUCGCGUCGAUUGCUCCA